GCCAGACUCCUACGGGAGGCAGCAGUGAGGAAUAUUGGUCAAUGGGCUUACGCCUGAACCAGCCAAGUCGCGUGAGGGAAGACUGCCCUAUGGGUUGUAAACCUCUUUUGUCAGGGAGCAACGCCGGCUACGUGUAGCCGGACUGAGAGUACCUGAAGAAAAAGCAUCGGCUAACUCCGUGCCAGCAGCCGCGGUAAUACGGAGGAUGCGAGCGUUAUCCGGAUUUAUUGGGUUUAAAGGGUGCGCAGGCGGCCUGUUAAGUCAGCGGUAAAAGCCCGGGGCUCAACCCCGUCGUGCCGUUGAAACUGACGCCCUUGAGUGAGUGAGAAGUAAGCGGAAUGCGUGGUGUAGCGGUGAAAUGCAUAGAUAUCACGCAGAACUCCGAUUGCGAAGGCAGCAUACCGGCGCCCAACUGACGCUCAGGCACGAAAGCGUGGGUAUCGAACAGGAUUAGAUACCCCAGUA
Molecule: ribosomal RNA, 465 nt
Filed under: uncultured bacterium
Lineage: Bacteria
Description: bacterial SSU rRNA
Rfam family: Bacterial small subunit ribosomal RNA
Source: RNAcentral